RNAcentral lists this ribosomal RNA (183 nucleotides) under Triticum aestivum (bread wheat). Its description in RNAcentral is "partial small subunit ribosomal RNA". The record is from RNAcentral. Lineage: Eukaryota; Viridiplantae; Streptophyta; Magnoliopsida; Poales; Poaceae.
AAUAGGGGCUCUAUUGAAUUUCGACCAUUCACUUUCACCAAUAAGAUACUGAGACUUCCUUCACAUUUGAAACUGCUGAAAAAAGUUUUUUCAUCACAAAGUGGUCUACGAGGACUUGUGGGAAAAAGAUGACAUUUGUUGCCUUAUUUGGCAAACAAAAAUAGAGUACGUCAUAAAAAGUAA